Molecule: ribosomal RNA, 484 nt
Filed under: uncultured bacterium
Lineage: Bacteria
Description: partial 16S ribosomal RNA
Rfam family: Bacterial small subunit ribosomal RNA
Source: RNAcentral
AUUGAACGCUGGCGGCAUGCUUUACACAUGCAAGUCGAACGGCAGCGCGGGCUUCGGCCUGGCGGCGAGUGGCGAACGGGCGAGUAAUGCAUCGGAACGUGCCCAGUAGUGGGGGAUAGCCCGGCGACAGCCGGAUUAAUACCGCAUACGACCUGAGGGUGAAAGCGGGGGACCGAAAGGCCUCGCGCUUUUGGAGCGGCCGAUGUCGGAUUAGCUAGUUGGUGGGGUAAAGGCUUACCAAGGCGACGAUCCGUAGCUGGUCUGAGAGGCCGACCAGCCACACUGGGACUGAGACACGGCCCAGACUCCUACGGGAGGCAGCAGUGGGGAAUUUUGGACAAUGGGGGCAACCCUGAUCCAGCCAUGCCGCGUGCGGGAAGAAGGCCUUCGGGUUGUAAACCGCUUUUGUUCGGGAAGAAAUCCUCUGGGCUAAUACCCCGGGGGGAUGACGGUACCGGAAGAAUAAGCACCGGCUAACUACGUG